This 1196-nucleotide long non-coding RNA is filed under the name Physcomitrium patens. RNAcentral's name for it is "long non-coding RNA (PPAT_LNC002247)". The record is from RNAcentral. Lineage: Eukaryota; Viridiplantae; Streptophyta; Bryopsida; Funariales; Funariaceae.
GGAUACAUUUUUAAUUUUCUUAGUUCUAUAAUUAUUUGAUUGAUCCCAAAACUGUCCAAAAAAACUUGAGUUCUCUCUCUAUAUAUAUAGAUCUUAUAAUUAGAUAUACAGAAGUAAUAGGUUUUUUACAAUAUAUUUUUUAAAAUUUGCAACUUUCAUGUGUAUGUGAAUGAGGUGUAGGUUAAAUGCAAUUAUGUAAAUGUCUAUUUUUAUGUGAGCAUAGUAUCCAAAGGAAUACAUUUAAAAAGUUUGAGAAAAUACUUGUUGAAUAAUCCAUCAUGACAGGUGAUUGUCAAAAAAAAUAAUAAAUAAAAAUAAAAUAAAAUAUAUUUUUAUUUUAUUUUUAUUUGUUUGUUUGUUGUUGAUUUGCGGUUCCAAAAUAAUGUUUCAAGUUCUACAAUAUGUCUUAGAUUUUAAGAUCACCAAAUUGAAACAUGUUAACAAACACAACAUGCUUACAAAAUUCUGAUCUUACAUUUGAAGUAAUCUUAGUUUAAAAAUUUAGAAAUAAGGCCUCUAGCCUUGUACAAAGUCUUUAAAUAUUAUCUAAUAGAAAAAGGUCAACUCCAUUAUGUUCCAAAUACAAAUCAAAUGUUACUUGAUCAGUUGCCACAGUGCUUGUGCUUACCAAUUUCUUCAUCCUAAAUUGGAAUCCUUCAAUUAUUUUAUUUCUUUAUUUAUUAUUCAUUUUUUAAAGAAAAUUUUAUCAUUGAAGAAUAUCCAGUGUAACGAGGUCAUUGAGUGCUUAAAACUCAUUCCUAGGUUGCUGAUAUUUUGUUUCUUAAUCAUGAGUAGUAGGUAAUUAGGUAUGAUAUAUAUACCAAUCUAGGAAGAGGACUACUAACGUUGCAUGUUUGGAUCAAACCACAUAUGUUUCACUGUCUUCUUCUUCUUUUGUUCUGCUUGUUUUUUUCCUCCUUUCUGAAUCUCCAGCAGUAUUCUAAACUAAUUACACACCAAACUGUAAUCUUGUGCAUCAAAUCCCACCAGUGUGUUGUAAGAGAGUGAAGAGAAGAAGCAACUGGUGUAAUGGGGCCAUGGAUUUGGUGGGUUUGACUGCCAAGCUCCUCCCACAAACUAACAAACAAACAAUGCUGCACUUUCAGUACAAGUUAAUGAUGUUUCUAUGAGCUAUACAUACAUAAACAUACAUACAUAGAUUAGUUCUCAGUUGCAUAAGUAACACACAAUAAUGU